Molecule: ribosomal RNA, 216 nt
Filed under: uncultured bacterium
Lineage: Bacteria
Description: partial 16S ribosomal RNA
Rfam family: Bacterial small subunit ribosomal RNA
Source: RNAcentral
GUCCCAGUUCGGACUGUAGUCUGCAACCCGACUACACGAAGCUGGAAUCGCUAGUAAUCGCGAAUCAGAAUGUCGCGGUGAAUACGUUCCCGGGUCUUGUACACACCGCCCGUCACACCAUGGGAGUCGGGAAUGCCCGAAGUCAGUGACCCAACCUAUAGGAGGGAGCUGCCGAAGGCAGGUCUGAUAACUGGGGUGAAGUCGUAACAAGGUAGC